Molecule: microRNA, 20 nt
Filed under: Tribolium castaneum (red flour beetle)
Lineage: Eukaryota; Metazoa; Arthropoda; Insecta; Coleoptera; Tenebrionidae
Description: tca-miR-2944c-3p
Source: miRBase by way of RNAcentral
UAUCACAGCCAGUAGUUACC